RNAcentral lists this ribosomal RNA (468 nucleotides) under uncultured bacterium. RNAcentral describes it as "partial 16S ribosomal RNA". It matches the Rfam family "Bacterial small subunit ribosomal RNA", at positions 28 to 507 of the family's 1533-position model. The record is from RNAcentral.
GACGAACGCUGGCGGCGUGCUUAACACAUGCAAGUCGAACGGAAAGGCCCUGCUUUUGUGGGGUGCUCGAGUGGCGAACGGGUGAGUAACACGUGAGUAACCUGCCCUUGACUUUGGGAUAACUUCAGGAAACUGGGGCUAAUACCGGAUAGGAGCUCCUGCUGCAUGGUGGGGGUUGGAAAGUUUCGGCGGUUGGGGUUGGACUCGCGGCUUAUCAGCUUGUUGGUGGGGUAGUGGCUUACCAAGGCUUUGACGGGUAGCCGGCCUGAGAGGGUGACCGGCCACAUUGGGACUGAGAUACGGCCCAGACGCCUACGGGAGGCAGCAGUGGGGAAUAUUGCACAAUGGGCGGAAGCCUGAUGCAGCAACGCCGCGUGCGGGAUGACGGCCUUCGGGUUGUAACCCGCUUUCGCCUGUGACGAAGCGUGAGUGACGGUAAUGGGUAAAGAAGCACCGGCUAACUACGUG